Molecule: ribosomal RNA, 305 nt
Filed under: uncultured bacterium
Lineage: Bacteria
Description: partial 16S ribosomal RNA
Rfam family: Bacterial small subunit ribosomal RNA
Source: RNAcentral
ACAGCAGCCGCCGCGGUAAUACGAAGGGGGCUAGCGUUACUCGGAAUUACUGGGCGUAAAGGGCGCGUAGGCGGCACGAUUAGUCAGGCGUGAAAUUCCUGGGCUCAACCUGGGGACUGCGCUUGAUACGGUCGAGCUAGAGGAUGGAAGAGGGUUGUGGAAUUCCCAGUGUAGAGGUGAAAUUCGUAGAUAUUGGGAAGAACACCGGUGGCGAAGGCGGCAACCUGGUCCAUUACUGACGCUGAGGCGCGACAGCGUGGGGAGCAAACAGGAUUAGAUACCCGUGUAGUCCCUGUCUCUUAUAC